Molecule: ribosomal RNA, 877 nt
Filed under: uncultured Terriglobales bacterium
Lineage: Bacteria; Pseudomonadati; Acidobacteriota; Terriglobia; Terriglobales
Description: SSU rRNA
Rfam family: Bacterial small subunit ribosomal RNA
Source: RNAcentral
ANCGCUGGCGGCGUGCCUCAUACAUGCAAGUCGAACGCGAAAGUAACCUUCGGGUUGCGAUUAGAGUGGCAGACGGGUGAGUAACGCGUGGGUGACCUACCUUCGAGUGGGGGACAACCCCUGUAAUGGGGGCUAAUACCGCAUAACAUCCUGUUCUUAGAUGGACAGUGAUCAAAGCUGGCCAAGCUUCGGCUUGGCUGGUGCUUGUUGACGGACCCGCGUCCGAUUAGCUUGUUGGUGGGGUAAUGGCUCACCAAGGCUUCGAUCGGUAGCCGGCCUGAGAGGGCGGACGGCCACACUGGGACUGAGACACGGCCCAGACUCUUACGGGAGGCAGCAGUAGGGAAUUGUUCGCAAUGGGCGAAAGCCUGACGACGCAACGCCGCGUGGAGGAUGAAGAUCUUCGGGUUGUAAACUCCUGUCGGGAGGGAAGAAUAGCUUGUGGGUUAAUACCCCAUAGGCCUGACGGUACCUCUAGAGGAAGCCCCGGCUAACUCCGUGCCAGCAGCCGCGGUAAUACGGGGGGGGCGAGCGUUGUUCGGAUUUACUGGGCGUAAAGGGCUUGUAGGCGGUGGUCUAUGUCGGUUGUGAAAUCCCCAGGCUCAACCUGGGAACUGCAGCCGAAACUGGGUCACUAGAAGCCGGGAGAGGGAUGCGGAAUUCCAGGUGUAGCGGUGAAAUGCGUAGAUAUCUGGAGGAACACCCGUGGCGAAGGCGGCAUCCUGGACCGGUCUUGACGCUGAGGAGCGAAAGCUAGGGUAGCAAACGGGAUUAGAUACCCCGGUAGUCCUAGCCCUAAACGAUGAAUGCUUGGUGUGGCGGGUAUCGAUCCCUGCCGUGCCGGAGUUAACGCGUUAAGCAUUCCGCCUGGGGAGUA